This 403-nucleotide ribosomal RNA is filed under the name uncultured bacterium. RNAcentral describes it as "partial 16S ribosomal RNA". It matches the Rfam family "Bacterial small subunit ribosomal RNA", at positions 28 to 526 of the family's 1533-position model. The record is from RNAcentral.
GACGAACGCUGGCGGCGUGCCUAAUACAUGGAAGUCGAACGCAGUGGGGACGGGUGAGUAACAAGUGGGUAACCUCCCAUCAGAGGGGAUAACACUUGGAAACAGGUGCUAAACCGAUACUGAUGGAUGGAACCGCGGUGCAUUAGCUAGUUGGUGAGGUAACGGCUCACCAAGGCCACGAUGCAUAGCCAACGUUAAGAUAUGUGCGGCCACACUGGGGCGGAGACACGGCCCAAACUCCUACGGGUGGCAGCAGUCGGGGUUCUUCAGCGCUAGACUAAAGUCUGCCCGAGCAACGCGGCGUGAGUGAAGAAGUUUUUCUGUUCGUCACACUCUGUUGUUAGAGAAGCGGUAUCUAACCAGAAAGCCACGGCUAACUACGUGCCAGCAGCCGCGGUAAUAC